CAGGGAGGGAAUAUUGGUCAAUAGCUUAAGCGGCUGAACCAGCAACUUGGAGGAAUGUACAGGGAAAACUGGUAAAAUGUGAUGUACCUGAUAGUAUUAGUGAUUAAUAUGAAAUUAACUAAGUUUAAUUAAAAUUCAAAGUAGAUAUGUGAUUAUGACAAUAUUUGCUUAUUUCUUGACCAAGUCACGUGCCAGCAGUCGCGGUAAUACGUGGAAGAUAAGUGUUAUUCAUCUUUAAUAGGUUUAAAGGGUACCUAGACGGUUAAUUAAGCAUAAAAGUGUACUGAUUGUUAACUAGAGUUUAAUGUAAGAAGGAUUGAGUACGGUGAGUGAAGAGAUAAAAUUCUGUCAUACCACUUAGGAACUGGUAAAGGCGAAGGCAACCUUUUAUGUAAAAACUGACGUUGAGGGACGAAGGCUCGUAUUAAGUAAUAGGAUUAGAGACCCUAGUAUUGUGGGCAGACAAUGAUGAGUGUCAUAUGCAAGAAAAAUUUUUGUGUAUAAAUGAAAGUGUAAGCAUUCCACCUCAAGAGUAACGUGGCAACAUGGGAACUGAAAUCAUUAGACCGUUUCUGAAACUCGUAGUGAAGUAUGUUGUUUAAUUUGAUAAUCCUCAAAUAACCUUACCACAAUUUGUAUUACUAGUAUUUGUAUUAGUAACAAGCGUUGCACGGCUGUCUUCAGUCAAUGUUGUGAAACUUUGGUUAGAUCCAUUAAAUUGACGUAAACCCUUGCUUUAUUUGUUAUAAAGCAGUUCGCCGCUAUAUUGGUAAUGAUAUAAGGACCAAGACAAGCAUCGCCAUG
Molecule: ribosomal RNA, 804 nt
Filed under: Phaeographis alcicornis
Lineage: Eukaryota; Fungi; Ascomycota; Lecanoromycetes; Ostropales; Graphidaceae
Description: SSU rRNA
Rfam family: Bacterial small subunit ribosomal RNA
Source: RNAcentral